Molecule: ribosomal RNA, 302 nt
Filed under: Polarella glacialis
Lineage: Eukaryota; Dinophyceae; Suessiales; Suessiaceae
Description: partial Eukaryotic large subunit ribosomal RNA
Rfam family: Eukaryotic large subunit ribosomal RNA
Source: RNAcentral
GAACCGAACGCCGCGCUAAGGUACCCAAGUGUCCGCUCAUCAGAGACCACAAAAGGCGUUGGUACCUCUAGACAGCAGGACGGUGGCCAUGGAAGUCGGAACCCGCUAAGGAGUGUGUAACAACUCACCUGCCGAAGGUACUAGCCCUGAAAAUGGAUGGCGCUCAAGCGGACCACCGAUGCGCGGCCGCCGGCGCGAGCGCGAGGCGCCGGCGAGUAGGGGGGCGCGGGGCUCGCGACGCAGCCUUGGGCGCGAGCCUGGGUGAAGCGGGCCCCGGUGCAGAUCUUGGUGGUAGUAGCAAA